AAGUCUGGGUAGCAGGCAGACACCUGCGGUCCUGAGCCACUGGGGUCAGCCUUGGGACAAUUAAAGUGACAAGGAGGUCUGCUGUGCAAGGGGAUUCCUUCUCUCCAUCAUUCAUUAUUCAGUGUGCCUUAUAUGAAAGCUACUGCGGGAGGAUGAGCAUGAGAAACAUGGGAUGCCCCCUCCUAGCACUUGCAACCCAGUUAAAAAGACAGACUUCAAAUGAAUACAUUAACUGAAAGUCUCAGUACCCAUCAGCUCUUUACCAUCAGCUGUAAAAGCCUCCUGGGAAAGCUCUGCCAGAAUUGAAACCUGAAAGACUCAUGUCUCCAGUCCCAUUGUCUGCCACUCACUGUCUUUGCAUCAGUUUCUCUCCCUACAACCUGGUAGGUACUAUCUCCUUCGAGGGUGGAAGGGAUCUGGCAUAUAUAUUGUGCUAAAGGAGCUGAUUUCUGUCAGGGCGCGCGGUGUAAGACAUCAGCACGACAUGAUUUGCGGAGGGAUAGAGAGGGCGGCUCGCCGCACAAUGGUGGGAAAUAGCACGGUGUAUUUUGACAUGAAAGAGUCUCAAAAGCAAAGGAAUUGUUCCUUGUUUGCUUGCUGCUAUUAGACGUCAUUUCAUGUCUUUCCAAGUAUUGGAAUCUGAUAGAGAAUUUUCCCUUCAAAGACCGCAGCAGUCUUUGACGGGGAAAAUUUCCCAGCGGUCUCAAGUGCCCUUCCGCGCGUACUGGGCUAAGUUCUCCUGCAGGAACCAGAGAGAACAGCACACACAGCUGUGUAAAGAUCACAAGCCGAGGAGGGGGAAUUUGCAUAUUACAAAGGAGGUCCAACAGAAGCUGCCUUUGCCUCUGAAUAAUUGAAAAUCUCCUCCGUGGUUGCAGUGCUGAGAAGCCUUUUGUUUCACUCCAAAGCACUUUCAUUCUGAUUUCACCUCUGCGCCCCCAGGUCCUGCUGUCUGCACUCCAGGGACAUUAACGUGCAGGUCGGUUUGUGUCUGUCACCUUUCUCUCUGCCUCCUGGGACCUGGGGGAGGCGUAUGAACUUGCCAGCUCCCUUCCCAGGAC
RNAcentral lists this long non-coding RNA (1061 nucleotides) under Sus scrofa (pig). RNAcentral's name for it is "lncRNA (ENSSSCG00070028969.1)". The record is from RNAcentral. Lineage: Eukaryota; Metazoa; Chordata; Mammalia; Artiodactyla; Suidae.